Molecule: RNase P RNA, 399 nt
Filed under: Rhizobium sp. AQ_MP
Lineage: Bacteria; Pseudomonadati; Pseudomonadota; Alphaproteobacteria; Hyphomicrobiales; Rhizobiaceae
Description: RNase P RNA component class A
Rfam family: Bacterial RNase P class A
About the family: Ribonuclease P (RNase P) is a ubiquitous endoribonuclease, found in archaea, bacteria and eukarya as well as chloroplasts and mitochondria. Its best characterised activity is the generation of mature 5'-ends of tRNAs by cleaving the 5'-leader elements of precursor-tRNAs.
Source: RNAcentral
CCAGUUGGCCGGGCAGCCGCGCUUUACCAAUGCCGAAAGGCGGUAAGGUGAGGAAAGUCCGGGCUCCACGGAAACACGGUGCCGGAUAACGUCCGGCGAGGGCGACCUCAGGGAAAGUGCCACAGAAAGCAAACCGCCUCGCAUGCGAGGUCAGGGUGAAAGGGUGGGGUAAGAGCCCACCGCGUCGCUGGCAACAGGGACGGCACGGCAAACCCCACCGGGAGCAAAACCGAAUAGGGAUGACGCGGGUGGCGCGCAAGCGUUGCUACAGCCUGUUUCCGGGCCAGUCAUCCGGGUGGGUUGCGCGAGGCAGCGUGCAAACGCUGUCCCAGAUGAAUGGCUGCCACGCUCCGGGAAACCGGGGCCAUACAGAACCCGGCUUACAGGCCAACUGGCAAA